CUUUGCUAUAAUGCAUACUGUUUGUUUAUUGAAGUCUUGAUUAUAUUGAUUUGCUACUGCCAGAAACGGAAGUACAGAAAGCAAAAAGUAUAGCAAUCUGUUCUUAUCUGUAGGAGUAUCAAGUUUUCCCUCUUGUCUCUAACUGAAACAAGAAACAGCAGUUUAGGAUGUUAAUCUGUAGUUUUAGAAAAAUGAACCACCUUAAUGUAUAAGACUUCAAGAAGGGUAAUACUGUGUUAAAUUCUUAUAUUGUGAAAUACUUCCAUUUGAUAGCGUAGACAAAAGAUUUUGAAAUGCCACAUGUUGAUACGUUAAACAUUAUCGUAUAAGAAAUACAAGAUAAAAUCAUAUUCAUUGACCACUGCUGCCUCAGGGAAACAGGCUGCAUUUUCAGUGUAGACGUAAGCAUACACACUGUAUAAUGACCAAGUGUAAUAAUAUGCAUAACUUUCUGUUUAGAGGGGGUAUAUUAUCUACUCACUUGGAAGAAGUGGCUGAAUUUGAUUCCCUGUUUCAUAAAUAUUUGAAAUAUUAUUUUUGUUGGAAUAUUUCAUUUUUCUUAAACUUGCAAAUACCCUUCAAUGUUACUGGUUUCUGCAUGUAUGAUAAUUUAGGUAUUAAUCUGACUGAUAUACAAAUAUGGUAACUAAUAAUAAGUAAAAGUACCUUGAAAUUAUGUAUGUUAUUAAUCUGAAACUCCAAAUGAUCUUUUCCAAACACCAAAAAUCUGGAUGCAAGACUGUAGUACAGUUUAAUUUGGAGGAAGAAAAAAAAAAAAGCUGCUAUGGCUGUCAGAACACCUGUCUCAUAUUUUGCCUGUCAUUAACAGUUUUGCUUGGAAUGCUGGAAUAAAUUGUGGUUACCUACUUAGAUGAGAAGUUCAGAUUUAAGAUAAUGUCUUGCUUCAUUUCACCACCUAGACAAUGGAACGUAGGGCAAUGGAACUGGUUGUCCAGAGGGGUGUGCAGUCUCUGUCCUCGGCAGUUUUCAAGACCGAGCUGAAUAAAGCAUUUUGUAACCUGGUUUGACCUCAGUUCUGAGUCUGCUUGGAGUAGGAGGCCAGACUGAGGAUCUCUUGAGGUUCUUUCCAACCUGAAUUAUCCAAUGAUCCAAUCCUAUGAUCCUAUUAUAUUGGGAAGUACCAAAUCAUAGGUCUGUUUUGUUUUUUAAUACCCACUCCAGCUCCCUUGUUGUUGGAUUACUUUUAUCCAACAGGUUGUCAGACAAAAGAAUUUAACUAGGGUCCAAGAAAAUCACCAAAAAAUUUUAAUGCAUAUAUGUUUAUUUCCUCAACGGAGGAAGAAAAUGAAAUACAAGAAGAUACUCUUACAAAUUAGAAAAUUGGCUUAGAGGCAUUUGAAUUGUUAAUACCAACAGUAUAAAAAUUGAGAACCCUAUGAUGGUUCACCUGAACUUAUAUGCUAGCGUCACUUCACAGCGAAAUGUUCUCCUGCUUUUUCUUUCCUAAUGUAAAUUAGGUUUUCUUCUUGGCUUCUGGAUUCUAUUUCCAUCUCUCUUACUCAAGGUGGAAUAGGUUAAGUCAGCAGUAUGGCUUGUGUUUCAGUACAAAGCUUGAAACAGUCUUAAUCUUCCCCUGCCAGCACCUUGAAGGUUAACAGCUUAUCCAGUGUCUUAAGGAGAAGUUAAAUGAAGCAGCUCAGCUGGCUUAGCAGCUUGCAGCCCCUAAAACGGGAGAAGGUAAGAGAGGAUGUGCAUUCUCUGUUGAUCCUGCUCAUUUCCGUUAUUGGAAUAGUUCAGUAUUUCACCGAAAUUACUCAGCUUGAAUCUGUCUGCUCACUUUAAGCCUCCUACCACCCCACCCCUCAGCAUUUUACUGCGUAGAAUCAGUUUGGCUGGCAGAAAGUGCCAAGUACUAUAAGAGCAACAUAGGAAAGGAGAGAGAAUGAAACCCUUUCCUCUCACCCACUGCAAUAUGCAGUUAACUCAAGAAGUUUUGUUAAAUAGUAAUAAUUUCCACUAGUCUAGAAAAGAUAAAUAUUGAAAGAAAGCAUAAAUAUCAACAGAGUUAACUUAUUCUAUUUUAAUUGGAAGGAGUUAAUCAGUCAGUUCUAACGUGGUUACAACUUGAAGAUUUUUGUUUCUAGCAGACUUGUGUUACAUGCUUGUGCUUGUUUUCUGGUGUUCUCACAAAGUAGUAGGUACUUUCCAAAUGUAAAAAGCACUGUCCCUGCCACAAGGAGGUAAAAACAGAUGUGCAGAAGAGAUUGAGGAAAGUAGUAUAGCAGAGUAUUUAACUGUUGGCUGGUAAAUAAGAAUAAGCUUUUGUUGUGUGUGUUGUUUUGUUUUUUUUUUUUUUUUUUUUAAUUAACUUGUCAGUAUAAAUCAGUUGGAUUUCCCAUGGGCAGCAUUGCAGAUGAGGGUCUUCCAAAGGGAAUUAACUGGAGGAAGGGUGAAAGCUAUACAGAUGAGUUCAUGAAAAAUGCUCAGUGCACAAGAGACUGAAAGAAAUCAAAGAACUGCUAAUGCUAGAAGAAUUUAAAAAUUGCAGAGUUUGGUCUUUGUCAAGGGAAAGGGAGAUGGCAUGAAACAAAACAAGGCAAAAUAUGUGUGGGACAUGAAAAAUGACAGAAAGCUUGAAUUAGAUUUUGUGAUAUUCUUGGUAGAAUUCAAAUAAUCCUGUAGUCUGCAGGUCUGAAAUAUGAACCUUUUGCCUAAAAUGAGAAUAGCAGACAAGGAGGAAGAUUGAGAUAUAAGUAUCGCCAUUAGUCAUGGUUCUGCAGGAUUGUUAGAAGGUUUUGGAGAUAGGAACAAGGACCAGGUUUUGUCUGUUCUUGGUUGGAUUUUUUUGGUUGUGUUUGGUUUGGUUUUGGUUGUGUGCUGAUGUUGUUUUAGGACUUCAUUAGUGUUAAACUGAACAUAAACGUUUGGGAGAGGUUUUAGGAAAGGAGUUGAGAUCUGGGUGAGAUGAAAGCUAACGAAUGGAAAAUUUGAGAUCUCUCACAUUUGAGAACCAUCAACAUGGAUGUCCAAAUUAGCUGAAACUGAAAGAGUUCUGAAUGCGUUGCUGAAAUUACUUCCCAUUCCAGCUUGGCAGACUGGCCUAAUGUAUUGAGCACACUGGAAGAUCUAGCGUUUGUCUAAGGGUAUCUGCAAAGGACAAAGUUCAGGGAGAAUGGGUGUUCAGAGUUCUCUGUUUUAGUGAAGUCCAGACUCGCAUACAACAUGCGUGGCCAUACUUGUUAAUUGCAUAAGAGAUGCUUGCUAAUAGCAGUUAAGAAGCUGGUCCCAGAGAAGUUGUUUCAUAGGGUCUAAAUAAAAUAAUUUAUUUUUGGAAUCUCGGCUCUUAACGUAAGCACUUAUGUAGACAGUGAGACUCUUAAAUUCAGAACACCAAUGUUAGCUGUAUGUUUCAGCAACUUCUUUUCAUUUCUCCUCUAACCAUUCUACCCCUGGCAGGUGUUUGUUGGUAGAGGUUACAGUGUGUAGAAAUACUUAGGAUAAUGAAAUAAAAUACGAUCUUUGCUUAUUUAAAACAGUAACAUUUGUUUUAGAUGCUAAGAUAACAGCUUGGCUUGGUAAGAGCUCAAUUUAUUUAUUUGCUUGCUUGAGUCUGAAUUCUGUUUCCCUUGGAAAUUUCUUUCUGUACUUUCAUACUGCCACAAUGCUAUUCUGUUUUCAAGCCUGAUUCUUAUGGUGCUGUAAUUAGCAGACAGAGGAGGUUGAUCAAAAAAAAAAAAAAAAAAAAAAAAAAAAAAAAAAAAAAAGACAUCUACUGGUUUUGACACUGAGAAUUAAUUAUGAACUAAAAGACAGAUUUGUGCUCAGGCUAGAAUUAGCCUAGCAGUUCAAACUAUAAGCAGUCACCUUGGAAUCGUGUAACAAAAAGUGACACCCUUUCUUUUACUAUAGGCUAAAUAUAUCUUGUGAACUUAGGUUAGAUAAUUCAUCUGUGUGUCAGUUCUAUCUGGUAUUCUAUUUAAUUAAUGUGGAAAAUAGUUGUUGCUUUUCUUUGACAAGCACGGAGUUCAUGUUUGUUAAAUACUUUGAAAAACAUAACCAUUUCUUUUAAGUGGUUUAGAUUAUUAUCAGAGAGGUUGUUCAUUCUUACUAUAAAAAGGUGACAUUCAGCACAUCAUUGGUAGCUGGUUUUAAAUGAAGUAAAGUUUCAAAAGAGUAUCUAUAAUACAGUUUUUCAAAUCCUUUAAUUAGCUUUUGCAUGGAAUACCUUGCACAAAGUGCUGGCAUCAUAUUUUGCUCUUGUUCCUUGCAAGUGAACACAAUUUGAAUGCCGUUAAUGCAACUUUCCUUAUUUUGUGGCAACAAAGACUCCUCCAAAUGUCUUGCGCUGGUUAAUGCAGAAACAACAUUGUGAUAGUGUGUUAAUCUUGAGCACACAAAGAACCACUGGAGGGUAAGAGGAGGACAUCUGUUGGAUAAGCUUUCAAUAUGAUGAGAAUGAUAAGAGACCUACAACUGGUGCAAAAACCAGCUAAUCUUUUACAGUAUGUGAUUAAAAACCAAUGAAUAUCUUCUUUUCAAAAUUUGUGUAUUGAUGUAGAGAGUAAUAGCCCCAUAUUUCAUAAGUAGACAAAGAGGGACCUUGCAUUUGAGCAAACUGGCCAUUCUAAGCUGCCAUAAUUUGUACUAGCAACAGUGACCAUUUUAAGUUUAGGCCUACACGUUCUGGGUGGGUUAUUUUUAUGAUGGCUUGUCACUGUGAUGAACGAUCCCCUACUACCUCCUUUAUGUGUUUGUCAGCACAAUAGUAGUUGUAGUACUUUUAUAGUAGAAAUCUGUAGGAAAAAUUGUAGGCUUUUGUAGUAAGAAUUCUUGAGAAGAUUAUUAAUUUAUAAAUCAUCUUGGAGCUUUGCAUAACUAAUAAAAAUGUGUUAUUACAAAGAAGUAGUAGUUAUGAGGAUGCUGAGAAGUUAACUUUGGGAAUUGGUAAUUAAUUUCAGUUCCUGCGAAAUUACAUUUGAUGGAGUUCUCAUGUAUUUUCUAGUUUGGGUGCCAUUGCAAUUUCUAUGGAGAGUCAAUCUUCCUUUAGAAGAGAGGGAUAUAUUUUUUUUAAAGAUUUAGAAAGGGCUUGAAACUAUUGAUAUUCCCUUCAGAAAGAAGAUCAGUAAAUGUGUACAUUAUAAAGAUGACUAUCAAUCAUAAUGCAUGCAAUAGUAUGCAAACAUUUUUCUAGGCCACAAAACAGGGUAAUUUUUCAAGCUUUCAUGGUAGUUUCUGCUUAGUUGAUUGCAGUGAAGCAACCAGAAGGUUAUUCUUAAAACUUGUAAAACCACAUGUAGAGCUAGCUUCUUGCUGUCAAGAAGGAUAUUCUUAAGUUUUGUAUAUGAAUGUUUAGUAUUUGCACUAAGGAGCUCUUCACAGCUCCAUUCAGGCAUUACCUAUAGCUAUGUUUUCAAGAAAGUAACAUUUUGUGCAUCUUUUCUGAACAUAAAUACACGAUGCCGUAUCUGCCUUUUCUUAAAGUCUUUGGGUCUCAGCACUAUGUACAAACUUGUUCUGAUUAAUAACACUUACAUUAUACAAUGUAUAUCACUUUAGUUACCAACACUGGUGAAGUUUUGUUCCGACUUGUAUGAAUAUGCUCCUAUCAGUUACAUUUUUUCAUAAAACACAGGAGGUGGGGGCUUUUGAUGUCAAGUAAUGAAAUGAAUGUGGAAUGAAAUCAGUUCCUUACUCAUUAAAUCCAAAAGCACCUGCUGUAUUAUUAUUUGGCUGUAAACCAAAAAUAGAAUGGUUUAGUUAAAAACUAGGAGGAUAGGAAGGGGAAUCAUUUAAUCAAAUUUAUACAGCUUUCUGAAAGUUUUCUGGAACUAAAGUAGUUGGUGAUGUAAUGUAUGAAGUCAAAGAGUAUUUUGCUGUGAUGAGGAAAACUAAUGGAAACAUUCACUUGGGGUAAGACAAAUGGUAUUAAAUGAGAAAACACACCAUGAAUUGCAAAUGGAGCCGAGUUAAUUUGUUGCUACAGUAGUGUUGCCCUACUGUUAAAUGAAGGCUGUGUAAUUAUCUUGCUGGCAGAGAUAAUGUCAAAACCUCAUUUCUCCUUACAUGCCUCAUUUUUACAUGAGGGCUAAUUGAGCUGCAAGGUGACAACUGAUUAUAUAUGGCUAUCAUCAGGUCCUCUUGCUCAAUUUGCAAAUAAUGUUAUCUUUUUUAAGUGAUGAUUUUUAUCACAUGUCAAAUUAAAGCAUUAAAAAAACUUUUUAAAGCUAUUUUAGUAAUUUGUAACAUAGCAUUUCUGUCACUGUUUUAUUUAUAUUUUUCAGCAUUAAUUAAUACUUCCUCUAAGAUUCUUGACAUCCAUUUUCUUGCAGUCUUUUUACUGAAAGCACAUAGAGACGUGUACUAGUCAGUUUGCUUCAUGCCUCUUGAUUGUUAUUAAUGAAAGGGCCCUUUAUAAUCCAAAAUAUAUUAAGCUUUCUUUCAGUUUACUGUUGGGAUUGAAGUUUAUUGGAAAAGCCACUGAAUACUUUGUUAAUAAAUAUUUGAUUUAAAAAAUACCUAGGUUUAAAUCUUCUACUUUUUGAUCAUGCGUGCGUGCUUUUAAGUAACUUUGGUUUUACUGUGGGAUUUUUAAUCACUUGUUAAAAAGUUAUGGAUUCAUUUUAAUUAAGGCUUCCUUCCUGGAGAUGGUUAACAUCGGUAUUAUCCUUUGCUGUGUUCCCUUCAACCAGAAAAAAUGACUGAUAAGGGAGCAAGAAACUUUUUUUUCCAAUGUAAAAAGCUCAAAAAUAAACCAAGUCACUUCUCUUGGUCUGUAGUGUACAACCAGUGGGAGGUGUAUCUGUUGUGGAGACACUUGUAAGAGAAUGUGUAAGUAUAUUUUCUUCAUAGGAUCUAGCAUGCCCAAAGACAGUGAAGGUGAUGUAUGCAGGGAUGCAGUGUCAAAUAAAAGCAGAGUACCCUCUCUUUACAGAUUGGCUUCUUGAAUGCUGGCUUCGCUUGUUAGUGCAGAACUGAAGGCCUAGGCAUGGCUAAUGCCAUUUGGCCUGACACUUUGUCUUGGCCUCCUAAGUCCCUGCUUUGCCCUUAGAUACACUGCAGUGUCUUUUUGAGAUCCCUAUUUUUUUUAAUCCUGCUGCAAUCGCAAAAACUGAAAUAAAACCAGUUAUUUUUUAAUUCUAAUAAUUCAUCAAUCUGGAUUUGUGUGUUCCCACCCAAAAGCGCUGAGCUGCAGAAGUUACAUAUGAGACAAGACAAACCUUAAGAAUAUGCUUGGAGAAAGAGAAAUUUCUCAUUUCAAAAUCUGGCAUUAAUCCCAAGGCCGGGGGGGGACAAUUUUCAUAGCUCUUCAAAAAAAAAUAAAAAUAAAAAUCUUGCAUUAUUUGGGAACACUACUUAUAAAAUACAUUCAAUAUAUUUGCCAAAAAAUAGCUUCUGAAAUUUUAGUUUCUUGACUACACUGCCUCCUUGCAGAUACAACUUAUGUUUAAGUGGAACCUGGAAAGUUUGAUACCCUUGUAAUGACCAUCUUGUAUUUCAGAGGACUCAGACUCUUACCAGACUCUCAGCUUACUACUCAAACCAGACAUUUAGUUGUACUCUAAAUAGUAUUUUAGUACAUUUAAAAUAGGAAAAUAAUUGUGAAAUUCCAAAAUAGACUAAGCCAGUUUGUGUUACAUUAAAUACAUUUCAAAAGUAAAACGUCAUAACGUUUAACUGAUUGGAGUUAAGCAAUAUGAAACUUCUAUGUUUGCUAACUCCCCAUACUUGUUCAGGUUUCAAAGCAAAGAUACACUUUCAUUCCCAGAUCUUUUAGUGAACUUCAAUGUGUUUUUAAAAUUAAUGAUGUAGGUUUAUUUCAUAAUUGGACCUGAUAAAAUUCAACCAAUUCACACUUUCAAACAAAUGAAAUAAUGAUACAAGACUGUCUAAACAAAGUCUUCAAUUUUACUUUAUGCUAGGAUAUAACAGACUAAAGCUUUGUUUUGAGAUGAAAUACCUGAAAAAUGCUUCAGCAUCUUCUUAUAACAACACUUUUUUUUACAGACUGUUUGUAUCUUAUAGUAUAGGAAAAAUACCUUUACUGGAAAUCUUAUGACUGGGAUCUUAAAGCAUUUUUACUUUAUUAGAUGGUUCUCUAUUUAGAAAUUAAAUAAUUUUACUUUUAAAAAGAAACAAACAAAGAACUCUAAGACAAUUCUGUACUUCUCUUGCUUGUUUGACGUCAGGGGAGGGAAAAAAAAAAAAAAAAC
Oxyura jamaicensis (ruddy duck) is the source of this 8171-nucleotide long non-coding RNA. RefSeq lists it as uncharacterized. The record is from RefSeq and is a predicted model, not a curated record. NCBI's taxonomy places the organism in Eukaryota, Metazoa, Chordata, Aves, Anseriformes, Anatidae. The transcript has 2 exons.